Small nuclear RNA from Dromiciops gliroides (monito del monte), 104 nucleotides. Lineage: Eukaryota; Metazoa; Chordata; Mammalia; Microbiotheria; Microbiotheriidae. The record is from RefSeq and is a predicted model, not a curated record.
GUGCUCUCUUCGGCAGCACACAUACUAAAAUUGGAACAAUACAGAGAAGAUUAGCAUGGCCCUUGAGCAAGGAUGAUGCUCAAAUUCGUGAAGAGAAUAUAUGU